AGUGAACGCUGGCGGUAGGCCUAACACAUGCAAGUCGAACGGCAGCACAGUAAGAGCUUGCUCUUACGGGUGGCGAGUGGCGGACGGGUGAGGAAUACAUCGGAAUCUACUUUUUCGUGGGGGAUAACGUAGGGAAACUUACGCUAAUACCGCAUACGACCUACGGGUGAAAGCAGGGGAUCUUCGGACCUUGCGCGAUUGAAUGAGCCGAUGUCGGAUUAGCUAGUUGGUGGGGUAAAGGCCCACCAAGGCGACGAUCCGUAGCUGGUCUGAGAGGAUGAUCAGCCACACUGGAACUGAGACACGGUCCAGACUCCUACGGGAGGCAGCAGUGGGGAAUAUUGGACAAUGGGCGCAAGCCUGAUCCAGCCAUACCGCGUGGGUGAAGAAGGCCUUCGGGUUGUAAAGCCCUUUUGUUGGGAAAGAAAAGCAGCAGGUUAAGACCCCGCUGUUCUGACGGUACCCAAAGAAUAAGCACCGGCUAACUUCGU
RNAcentral lists this ribosomal RNA (491 nucleotides) under uncultured bacterium. Its description in RNAcentral is "partial 16S ribosomal RNA". It matches the Rfam family "Bacterial small subunit ribosomal RNA", at positions 29 to 506 of the family's 1533-position model. The record is from RNAcentral.